Molecule: long non-coding RNA, 1062 nt
Organism: Cyprinus carpio (common carp)
Lineage: Eukaryota; Metazoa; Chordata; Actinopteri; Cypriniformes; Cyprinidae
Source: Ensembl
GCACGUUCUGUUGAACUCUCUGUGUAGUUACUAUGGAAACAGGGCCUCACUAUUUUAACACACCCUUGGUUAUUAUAAAUAUUAAAGGCUAUCUAUGUGUAAUUACAAACAGAGGGGCAAUACAAACUAACUCAUGAUAAACUAGAUCUUUUUUUUUUUUUUUAAAAAAGCUUCCCUAAAAUUAAAAAUAGAUUGGUCAAGACUAAAAAGACAUGAAAAAAAUCCAGCCAGCAAGACAAGAGGUACAAUGAUUCUUAGAGGGAAAAUAUGCUUACAAAUGUUUUUAUUUUAAAAUACUUUUAUUUUAAAAGGUUACACAGCUGUCAGAUAAUCAUCCAGCUGAUGGGAGGGCAAAUCAUGGUGAGAUCUCCCCUCAGUAUAGUGACACAAGUCACAGGGGUCAUAUCAUAUCAUGAAAUAUGAAUGAUGCAGAUCUUUGCUCCUGAUCUCAUUUAACGCAUCUUUUAAAUAGUUGAAAAUGCAUUUGAAAACCUAAUUUUUUAGACAGAACAAGGGCACUUAAAAAAAUAUUUUUUUAAAAAAAUGUUGUUUCAAACCUGUAUUACUGACAAAAAGCAUAAAGCUGUAUAAAUAUUGCUUGUAAUUAAUGAUUCGCUAAUGACUAAUUAAUACUGUUUUUUUUUUAAUAAAAAAAUGAAUAAAGCCCCGUGUAGUUUUAAUCCUUAUUAAUAAACGACCAAUUUGUGUUCAUAACGCGAGCCUGUCACGCUUUUACUUAGCCUACAUUGUUUGCUCUGAAAUUAGCCUAUAUACUAGCAGGCUGUUUAAUAAAUAUAUCUUCUGCUUAUGUAUAAAUUAUAUUAAGGCCAUAAUGAAGAGUGAUAGAGUGAUUCAAAUGUUGUUAGGUGAAGUUGUACUGCGUCAAUGACAUGCUCCUCCUGAAUGCUGACGCACGCUUAGAGCAAUGCUCCUCAUCAAAGUCCAUGCAAUGCAGCUCGACUGAGAUCUCACAAUCCAGAAACAGCGUCGACUUUCAGCAUCCUGCGAGAGGAGCCUCUGGGAGACCUACUGCGAGCCGACUGGAGGCGGAGGAGCUACUCA